AAAUGUUUGUCGCUGCCAUUCGCAAAUCCACCAUGGGAAAAAGCUUAGGCCUUCGAUUGAAUGUACGCAGGUUGCCCAUCUUCUCGGAUGAAGCCUGUAGCGUGGUGGCCCUUGUAAGGUACAGGAUAUAUCUCCUCUAGAUUAUAGUUCACACACACUCACGAUCUGAUACAGGAAUUGAGUUACAGAUGAACUGGGGGAGCAGAGGUAGGAGAAGAGAGGAAGGUAGCCGCCGCUGGGUUGGUCCGUGAUCCACUGGAUGGUUUGCUCCUUGCCUUCGAUCUGGUACUUGUAGUUGCAGCGAUGGGGUAGCAGGCGGGCCAGGUCCAUGAGCGGCCCAGUGGGCAAGCCCAUGUGCGUACAUGCUAGGAGGGCUCCUAACAGCCCUGAUGGAGUUUGAUUGGUGGGGCUGGUCUUGGGGAAGAAGACUCCGCCAAUGGGUGUCGCGGGGCGGUCAUCUGUGGAUUAGGGUGGAGCUCUCUUGGCCAGUGUGCUGCUGUGUGCGCGCGAGGAAAGUGUUGCUGCCGGCGGCGCCACCAUGUCUUUUACAGUGAGAGUGAGGGUGACAACGCUGAUGCCAUUGAACACGACUGUGUUGAAGCACAUCUUGAUAUGGACCAGGAGGCUUUGAUUCAAGAUCGAACAGAGAGUGCUGAUGGAGGCUCUGGGUGGACUAAGAGGAGUGCAGGGUGAGAAUCGGUAAUCAGCCUCCGGAUAGGGCUCCAUGUCAUGAAAGAGUCGGCGCAGUGGAACAGACAAUUAAGGAGUAUGCUGAUAAACUGGGGGACCAUGUAGUUGAGCUUGCUAUUGGUUUAACAUUUGACUCGUUGGGCGAAGCAUAUGAUUUCUAUAGCCCGUACUCAUGGGAGCAUGGUUUCAGCAUAAGGUACGGCAAAAGUAGGCUGAAUGCCGUGAAGACGAAGUGUAUGCAGGAAGUGGUUUAUGGAUGCUCUGUAAGUUCUUUGUUGUCAGGGCCCGUAUAUAUAUGGAAAAAUCAUAGUAUCUUAGGGAACGUUUGGUUGCAUUGCUGGGUGGGCUAUGCUUAAGCUAGCCCAGCUAGCCUAGCUCAGCUUUGCCAGCCUUGCCGUAAGCUACGCAUUUGGAUGCAUCAGUUUUGCUGGCAGUUACGUGCGUGUACGUGCGGGCCAACGUGGACCUUUUUUUGUGCAUGCUUGCUUGCCGUUGAGAGCGAGCCGAUUCGGCUCUCCACGAUGGGCGAGGUUUUCCUGGCCUAGCGAGGCUAGCUGGCCCCUAAAAGCCAGGUUUUCUUAGCGGUACCAAACGCUAGUCCUUGCCUAGCGAGGCUAUAACUGAUUUUGCCGAGGAACCAAACGCACCCUUAAUUGACGGAAAUGGUUAUCAUCGUGCUAAUCCGUUCUAAGUUUAUGCGUUGCUGAAUCGGCUCGCUGAGGCAAUCAACAGUUUCUACGAGGCUGAUGUGUAGGCCUUUCCUAGCCUUUGGAGGCGUUCUUUUUUCUGUGUUGGGCGACUGGGCGUUUCUCUGCUAUCCCUCUCUGUAUGGGGUGUGGG
This is a long non-coding RNA of Triticum aestivum (bread wheat), 1530 nucleotides long. RefSeq lists it as uncharacterized. The transcript has 3 exons. NCBI's taxonomy places the organism in Eukaryota, Viridiplantae, Streptophyta, Magnoliopsida, Poales, Poaceae. The record is from RefSeq and is a predicted model, not a curated record.